Molecule: non-coding RNA, 1973 nt
Organism: Monodelphis domestica (gray short-tailed opossum)
Lineage: Eukaryota; Metazoa; Chordata; Mammalia; Didelphimorphia; Didelphidae
Source: RefSeq, a predicted model, not a curated record
UUUCUCUGGGAGAUAGGUGCUAAUAUUAUCCCUACUUUACAGUUGAGGAAACUGAGAGAAAUCAAAAUGAAAUUAUUUCUCCAGGAUCACAAAGCUAAUGAGACUCUAAGGUCAUAUUUGAACUUAAUUCUUCUUGGUUCCCAGUCCAAUACUCAUCCAGGAACAACUGUUUCUGAACAAGACAGAAUUCUAAAAACCUUUUAACCAGGUAAUACCAUAUAUUAUUGGAAGAGCCCUAAAUCUCACUUCAUCAUAUUUCUCCUACUACUAGGUGUUUGACAAUAGGUACAUCUCUAUGGUCUCAAGUCAAAUAUAAAAGAACGAGUCAGACUAGUAAGGUCCCUAUUCAUUCUAAAUCAUAUAUUCUUUUAUUUCCCCAAACGGUUAUCUGUCAUAUUAGAAUGAAUACUAAUUAUUGGCUCCAAAGCAGAACACUGGAAAAGAAUAUAGUUCAGGUUUUGACAACUUGAAAUAAGAAGUUCAUCAGCACAGAAUAGAAAAAAAAAAGAUUCCUUUUUUUUUAUCAACAUAAGUUGCCACCACUAAAGAGAAACUAUAAAAGGCCCUCAAAACCAUAAUGAACAUAUUGUGAUGCUUCAUCUUCUUGAGCUACUUGAAGAUACUAGAGAGAAUAAUGGUUCCUGUGCUAAGCACCAUAGUUCAUGAAGGACAUAGUUGAGAGUGCCUAGAGGAGGGAAACCAGGAUGAUAAAGGGCCUAGAGUCCAUGUUACUUGAAGAUCAUUUGAAGGAACUGGAACUGUUUAAGCUGGAGAAGAAAUAAUUUAUCCAGGAGGACCAUAAUAGUUCCCUUCCAGCAUUUGAAAGGCUGUCAUAUGAAGGUAAAAGACUUUAUUUUUUUUUUUCUGUUUGACCCUACAAAGCAGAACUAGGAGUAAUGAUUGGGUGUGUGCCCCAUGUAUCCCCCAUCUUCUCUGUCUCUUGUUCUUCAUAUCUCUCAGGUUACAGCUAAAAGCCUACCUUUAUCAAGAAGAAUUAGUAUUUUAUUUCCAAAGUUAAUGCAAUGCAACUGAUAUAUAUAUAUGGAAUUUGUCUACAAUGAUUGCUUGUUGCUUCUCUCAUAUUGGAAACAGGGAUCAUUUUAUUGUUUUGGUUGGUUUUACCUUUCUUUGUAUCUCUAAUACUUAGCACACAGAACCUGGAAUGAAACAGUUGAUUGAUUAGUGUUUCUUGAUUUAAUUUUGACUUGACUUGAUGAGUGGAAUUUGAAUAGGGGCAAAAUUAGACUUUUAAAUGUUUCUAACAAAGAGUUAUCUAAAAUUAGAAUGGACUGCCUCAAGAGAAGGAGCUUCCCAGUCCUUACAGAUCUCCAAGCAGAGGCUAGGGUUUAUGGUUCAUGGGUUAUAUUUAUCAACAUCUUUCCUAAAAUGCAGUACUGAACAUAAUGUCUUAAAUCUGAUUUUACCAGGUUGUAUUCAGUGACAAUUACCUCCAUUAAAACAACAUAACUUGGGAUAAAUUUUCUUGACUUCCAUAUCAGUUUUUUGAUUUAUGUUGAAGCCAUACUUCUGCUAUUUUGUAUGUGGGAAGACAAUUUUUUUUAAACUCAGCCUUUUCAUUUGACCUUAUUAAAUUUCAUCCUAUCAAAAUUAAGCCCAAUAUUACAAUCUCUUAAUGUCUCUUUGAAACUUAUCUCUAGAUCGAGUAAGUGUUUUUCUCUGCUUUGUGCCACUUACAAAUGUGAUAUGUUCAUCAUUGCUUUUCAAGUCACUGGAAAACGUUUUGUACGUACAUUUCAUAUGUAGCAUUUUCUAGGUCACUGAUAAAGAUAUUUCACAUCAAUGGGCUGAGGAGAUAUCCUUGGGGCACUCUAACUAAUGUCUGCUGAUAAUCUGAUAUAACAGUAUCUAGUGCUCAUCAUUAUGUCAAAAAUUUACCAAACUCAUCAUGUCCAAUUAUACUGUGAUUGAGCCCAUAUCUCCAAAUAUUUUCUUGGGUAAUAUAUCUAUAUCUA